GACGAACGCUGGCGGCGUGCUUAACACAUGCGAGUCGAACGAUGAAGCAGAGAAACGCGCACUUCGGUUCAAAUUUCACUUCGGAUUAGUGGCAGACGGGUGAGUAACGCGUGAGCAACCUACCUCUUACAAAGGGAUAGCCUCGGGAAACCGUGAUUAAUACCAUAUGACACAUUCAUAAGGCAUCUUAAGAAUGUUAAAGCUACGGCGGUAAGAGAUGGGCUCGCGUCCCAUUAGCUAGUUGGUGAGGUAACGGCCCGCCAAGGCGACGAUGGGUAACCGGCCUGAGAGGGUGAACGGUCACAUUGGAACUGAGACACGGUCCAAACUCCUACGGGAGGCAGCAGUGGGGAAUAUUGCACAAUGGAGGGAACUCUGAUGCAGCGACGCCGCGUGAGCGAUGAAGGAAUUCGUUUCGUAAAGCUCUGUUCUAUGGGAAGAAAAGGACUGUACCAUAGGAGAAAGCCCCGGCUAAAUACGUG
RNAcentral lists this ribosomal RNA (482 nucleotides) under uncultured bacterium. RNAcentral describes it as "partial 16S ribosomal RNA". It matches the Rfam family "Bacterial small subunit ribosomal RNA", at positions 28 to 507 of the family's 1533-position model. The record is from RNAcentral.